RNAcentral lists this ribosomal RNA (253 nucleotides) under uncultured bacterium. RNAcentral describes it as "partial 16S ribosomal RNA". It matches the Rfam family "Bacterial small subunit ribosomal RNA", at positions 524 to 776 of the family's 1533-position model. The record is from RNAcentral.
UACGUAGGGUGCAAGCGUUAAUCGGAAUUACUGGGCGUAAAGCGUGCGCAGGCGGUUUGUAAGCCAGAUGUGAAAUCCCCGGGCUUAACCUGGGAAUGGCAUUUGGGACUGCAAGGCUUGAGUGCGGCAGAGGAGACUGGAAUUCCUGGUGUAGCAGUGAAAUGCGUAGAUAUCAGGAGGAACACCGAUGGCGAAGGCAGGUCUCUGGGCUGACACUGACGCUCAUGCACGAAAGGCGUGGGGAGCAAACAGG